GAUUCAGCGGCGGACGGGUGAGUAAUGCCUAGGAAUCUGCCUGGUAGUGGGGGACAACGUCUCGAAAGGGACGCUAAUACCGCAUACGUCCUACGGGAGAAAGUGGGGGCUCUUCGGACCUCACGCUAUCAGAUGAGCCUAGGUCGGAUUAGCUAGUUGGUGAGGUAAUGGCUCACCAAGGCGACGAUCCGUAACUGGUCUGAGAGGAUGAUCAGUCACACUGGAACUGAGACACGGUCCAGACUCCUACGGGAGGCAGCAGUGGGGAAUAUUGGACAAUGGGCGAAAGCCUGAUCCAGCCAUGCCGCGUGUGUGAAGAAGGUCUUCGGAUUGUAAAGCACUUUAAGUUGGGAGGAAGGGCAGUAAGCGAAUACCUUGCUGUUUUGACGUUACCGACAGAAUAAGCACCGGCUAACUCUGUGCCAGCA
RNAcentral lists this ribosomal RNA (428 nucleotides) under Pseudomonas sp. R10.49. RNAcentral describes it as "bacterial SSU rRNA". It matches the Rfam family "Bacterial small subunit ribosomal RNA", at positions 89 to 513 of the family's 1533-position model. Lineage: Bacteria; Pseudomonadati; Pseudomonadota; Gammaproteobacteria; Pseudomonadales; Pseudomonadaceae. The record is from RNAcentral.